This 467-nucleotide ribosomal RNA is filed under the name uncultured bacterium. RNAcentral describes it as "partial 16S ribosomal RNA". It matches the Rfam family "Bacterial small subunit ribosomal RNA", at positions 329 to 792 of the family's 1533-position model. The record is from RNAcentral.
UUCCAGACUCCUACGGGAGGCAGCAGUGAGGAAUAUUGGUCAAUGGGCGCGAGCCUGAACCAGCCAAGUCGCGUGAGGGAUGACGGUCCUACGGAUUGUAAACCUCUUUUGCCGGGGAGCAAGCGUGCGUUCGUGAACGCACGUCGAGAGUACCCGGAGAAAAAGCAUCGGCUAACUCCGUGCCAGCAGCCGCGGUAAUACGGAGGAUGCGAGCGUUAUCCGGAUUUAUUGGGUUUAAAGGGUGCGUAGGCGGUUUGAUAAGUUAGAGGUGAAAUGUCGGGGCUCAACCCCGAAACUGCCUCUAAUACUGUUGGACUAGAGAAUAGUUGCGGUAGGCGGAAUGUAUGGUGUAGCGGUGAAAUGCUUAGAGAUCAUACAGAACACCGAUUGCGAAGGCAGCUUACCAAACUAUAUCUGACGUUGAGGCACGAAAGCGUGGGUAGCAAACAGGAUUAGAUACCCCGGUA